UAGCCUAUAUCUCAAUGGUAGAGAAUCUCAUUGAUAAUGGGAAUAUAUAGGUUCGAUUCCUAUUAGGCUAA
This 71-nucleotide transfer RNA is filed under the name Candida buenavistaensis. Its description in RNAcentral is "tRNA-Ile". It matches the Rfam family "tRNA". From Rfam's summary of the family: Transfer RNA (tRNA) molecules are approximately 80 nucleotides in length. Their secondary structure includes four short double-helical elements and three loops (D, anti-codon, and T loops). The record is from RNAcentral. Lineage: Eukaryota; Fungi; Ascomycota; Pichiomycetes; Serinales; Debaryomycetaceae.